AUUGUACGUCCAGCUCGAGAGGGUCACUUUUGCUGGAACUGAUGGGGUUGAAGACCUCACACUGAUAACCCCCAGCGUCCUCCCUCCUGACAGGGUCAAUGGUGAGGACGCUGUUGUCCUGGGACAGCUUCUUCCUGUCCUUGAGCAGGAAACUCUGA
Molecule: long non-coding RNA, 158 nt
Organism: Pipistrellus kuhlii (Kuhl's pipistrelle)
Lineage: Eukaryota; Metazoa; Chordata; Mammalia; Chiroptera; Vespertilionidae
Exons: 3
Source: RefSeq, a predicted model, not a curated record